GGUGUACAAGCUGGGCAAGAAGGGUGACCCUAGCCACGGCGCGGCCACCGACUUCGAUGUCACCAAGAAGGACAUCACCCCCAUGGGCGGCUUCCCCCACUACGGCAUCGUCAACGAGGACUUCCUGAUGAUCAAGGUAAGCACACGCUUUAAGCACGGAAGGGUGCUGAUGGAGUAUGCUGAUGAGCCCAGCAGUCAUGCGUUUUGACUGAGUGGCUCCUUUCAUGUAAACCUGUGAACCUGUAUGCUGAUGAGGCUGCUGACUAGCUAUGCAGGGCGCAUUUCGUCGCCUGCGUAGCAUGCUGGUGAGGACGCUGAUUAGCUGCGCACCGUGCCCUUGGUUGGCUUCUCAGCAUGCCUGCGAGGAGUGGUGCAGGACUGCAUGGACAUGUCCAGUGGUCACAAAGACCAGGAGAGAGUGUUGUGAUGCUUCCCAGGGAGAGCAUGGACCAGUGCAUGAGUGAAGGCCUCAAUUUGGCCAACUCAUGAGACAAUGAUGGUCCUGUUGGCAUCUCUCUUGUGUGGAGGAUGGUAUUGCGGCUCUCUCUUGGCAUCUCUCUUGUGUGGAGGGUGGCAUUGCGGCUCCAAAAGCGGGCAUGUGGUUGUAUGUGCACCGCUCAUGCCAUGCAGUGCUGAGAACAGAGCUUGGCCUUUCAUCAGCGUAUAGCCCGUCCAUGCUGUGCGCUGAUCUAUACCAUGCCACAUUUUUCCCUCCUGGUGUGCUGUAUCAGGAGAGGCUGCACAAUCCUGAGGAUCUGCUGCUGAGAGUUGCUUGCGUUCUUUGCUCGGCCUAUUCCAAAUUUGGACAUCCUAUGCUUCGUUUUUCCCUUGCUCAUUUUGAGGUGCACGGCAUUUGUACAUGGAGAUUAUAGUCUCAGUGCAUGCAAGUUGGCCACUGCAUUGUGUUGUGACAAUGUGCACUUCCCCUGUUGAUAGUGAGACAUAACGCUGCUGCAGAUGUCCAAGUUAUUAGCUUCAGGUUGUGCUGCGCGGAGCAAAAAGGUUUCUAGAUAUACCUGAAAGGGCACGUCUCACAGCAGCUGCUUGCUUGAAUUUUAUUUUUGAAUGAAAGCAGCACAAACUCACUGAUAUUCUCUGAUACCUCUGAUGCUUUUGAAGGGUGGUGUGCCAGGUACCACCAAGCGCCCCAUCACCCUGCGCCGCUCCCUGGUGCCCCAGACCAGCCGCACUGCCCUGGAAGAGAUCAAGCUUAAGUUUGUGGACACUGCCUCCAAGUUCGGCCACGGUCGCUUCCAGACAUACGAGGAGAAGGCCAAGACCUUUGGCC
This 1288-nucleotide long non-coding RNA is filed under the name Dunaliella salina. RNAcentral describes it as "long non-coding RNA (DSAL_LNC000221)". The record is from RNAcentral. Lineage: Eukaryota; Viridiplantae; Chlorophyta; Chlorophyceae; Chlamydomonadales; Dunaliellaceae.